CUCGCGCUGUUCCUCCGCUUCUUCUUAUCAAAUGUCCAACGUUUGCAUCUUUCUCUCGCCGAUUAUCCACGGCGGUUUUCUUCCCGGAAAACUGCUCCACUCUUGCGAAUUUCUUUCAUUGAAAACCCUAGAGCGGCUAGAAGUUUCUCAACUUUUCGUUUCGUUUCCAUCUCUCUGUCACAAAUCUCUGCUUCAAUCGGCUCACAAAUCUCUGCCGACGGCGGUUUUUCUAGCCAGAGAAACCCCUGAAGAACAGCUUUGAUCUUCCACAUGACUACUUUGCGCUGCUUCCGAAAUAUCUCCGUCUCGAUGUGAGUAGGUUUUUUUUCAAUCUGUGUGAAUUAUCCAGUCUUUUUUUUUGGGUCAAAAUCCAGUUGUUGAAUUUGAUAAAGAAUGGGACUUUGAAAUGACAGAGACAGAGAGAGAGGGAGAAGUAUGGUUGUCCAAAAAGGGGUAGGAUUGAGCGAUUGGAGACAGACAAAAAGUGAGGGAGGGAUGUAGGGCUGAUUUUCUGGUUCUACCCAAAAACCUACUAAAAAUCUUACUCCACACCAGCAGACGAUGAGAGUUCCAGAAACUCCAGCCCUUCGCCGCUGUCUCUCCCUUUGUUGUCGUCAGCUCAUUCGCAACCAUGGUAUUUUCUCGGACCAAUUUUCUCUUAUCCUCUGUUUGAUUCCUGUAAAUUGAGCUGGUGUCGACAAUUUCCAGGGCGAAGUUCUACUAGGAAAAUUUCGUUGAUUACUAUUUACUUUUAUCUUUCCAAUAUAUUUGGAUGCUAUAUACUAACAUUUACAACUCAACUGAAUCUAUGAACUACCAUUUUAUGUUAUUUUUCUUAAUAUUUCUCUAAUGGAUCCUGCAAUUUUGAUGAAGCUGAAGUAUAAGUUUUUGUUUAUAAACAAAAAAAAAUUUAUUUCUUAGCAUAUUUUUUCUCGAAAUGUAAGCUACAUUCAUGAUAGACUAGGCAUUGGGCAUAUAUAAUAAGUAAUAACCAUAAUAAAUGAUUUACUUAGGUGAAUAUUUGUUGAUAAUCCCUCUAUGCGGAUUGAAAAAUAUGAGUAUCUUCGUUCUAAUUAUGCAUCUUUUGAGGUAGGCAAUAGCAAGAAAAAAAGUUAACGACUCUGAUAACAUAUUGCUGGUAAAUGAGAAGUUUAGUAAGCAAAUUACAGAGAUACCUCCAGAAGAGUACAAAAUGCCACAGGUAUGGAUUGACUUGGAAAUGACUGGUGAGGGUAAUAUUGCUUAGUAUAUAUGAAAGUGUAUGACUAAAUAACAUUAAUAAUUUCUUCGCUACUCUUGGGAACUAAUUGUAUGUGGAAUUUUGUUGUAUGGACUAUGGAAUAAAUAUAUGUUGCAUGACGUGACUUAUUCGAGUUUAUUAGAGGGUUGUGGGGAUGCCUAUGGAAAGACAAGCUCAGGUCCUUUCCAUGUUCUUUUGUAAUCUUCCUUUCACAGUUGGAAAGGGGGAAGUUUUGUUUCUGGGAAGAUAUUUGGGUCGGGAUUCCUAUUUCAGUGUCAUUUUCUCCCAUCUCUAUAGGAUCUCUUUGCCAAUCUUCACAAAAUUACACAGGUUGUUCACUGUUCGGCUUCCCUUUUCGAUGUUUCCUCUCACUUCUUUCUUGCAACAAUUUGUUUUCUGUCUUAAUAUCAAUUGAGAGUGUUGAAGGGAUGUGCAAAUAGAUGGGAAGAAGUAGAAUUCAUUUUGAGUAAAGAAAGUGAGAAUUAACCUUGUUGUUUUAUACUUCUUGGUUGUUUUGAUGAAGUUGGGAAUAAGUUAAAUAGAUUGACUGUAACUACCAGUAUAUGGAGGAAGGAGGAGAGAGGGCAUAAUAAUUCAAUUUAGUUUCCAUCUGUACCUUCUGCAUUUCCAAUGGCAAUUUCGAACCUUUUCUUUUCUGCUUCUAAAUUUUUAUGCUUUCUGGGUUUUUUUAUGGCAGUUUUAGGGAAAAGCAUAACAAAGAAGAGUACUACUACAAUGAUGUGAGUGCCCUCUAUCCUUAUUAUGGUUAAAUGGGGGUGCAAAUUUCAUAUUUUUCUUAAUAUGGUCAAAUGGUAUGCAAAUGAGAUUGGGUUAAGCUUUUGGGUUUAACUCUCUCACUCUCUUUGCGUUUGGGUUCCAUUUAUGGUUUUCUUUCUUCGUUUCUCUAUUUCGGUUCUCCUUUGGUUUUAACCCCUUUUUUUUUUUUUUUUUUUUAAUUUUGUUCAUUCAUCUUUAACUAUUAUCGGCAUAUCAUGAGGUUUAGAGAAAACUGAGAAAUUGAAAAUUUUGAAUACUCAAAGCAUGCCCUUCUAUCUAAUGCUCUCAAAAAAAAGUCCCAUGGCCACGAGGGGAGUAUAUAAGACUGAUGAGGGUCAAGUGUCCAUAUCAACUAUAAAAGGAUUGUGUAUCCAAGUAUUUGGAAUCUUAAGAAAGAACAAUAAUUUACUAUUAUGAAAGGUUUUGACUGUUAGUUUUGAUCCAUGGUCCUGAUUGGUAGUUUUGGACAAGUAACGUAUUCUCUUUAUCAGAACGAUGAUUGAGAUAAUAUUGUUUAAAUCAUUAUCUCCUUAUCUCUAAAUCUUUUAGUGCAGUACAAAUAAUUUCACUGCUAAUGAGAACUUUACUUGGGAUUUUCUUUUGUGUUGUCACUUCUGAUUUUACUGAUUAAUGUAUUUCUUGAAGGUAGUGACGUAAUCAUAAGAAAAAGUUGAGUUCUUAGUUCAUCGCAAGACGACCCAUUGCCAUUCAUUGCAAGUCAACCCAUUGCCAGGUAUCUCUCUCUCAAGAUAUUACCAAUUAGGUGUAUUUAUACUCUUAUUGGAUGUGAAUUUUUAAAAUAAUGAUGUAACUGCUUGAUAACCUGUGCAUCAUUUGGAGUUUAAAUAUACCACUUAAAUUGUGGGUAAAUGUAACUGUGAAACUUAUAAACUAUAACCUCAUCCAUCAUUUAUUUUAGACAUCACUCAAGUUGUAAGGAAAUGUAACUAGCCAAUUUAUGAAAAUUAUUAGCACUUAAUGUA
This is a long non-coding RNA of Pyrus x bretschneideri (Chinese white pear), 3000 nucleotides long. RefSeq lists it as uncharacterized. The record is from RefSeq and is a predicted model, not a curated record. The transcript has 2 exons. Lineage: Eukaryota; Viridiplantae; Streptophyta; Magnoliopsida; Rosales; Rosaceae.